RNAcentral lists this long non-coding RNA (205 nucleotides) under Phoenix dactylifera (date palm). RNAcentral describes it as "long non-coding RNA (PDAC_LNC021099)". Lineage: Eukaryota; Viridiplantae; Streptophyta; Magnoliopsida; Arecales; Arecaceae. The record is from RNAcentral.
AAAACAAUCGGGUGGUUCUAGUCGGUGAGCCUGUGAAAACCGACCGAGUUCGUUGUGAUCUCGCAAAAACAACAAGUUGGGUUGUGAACUUGUAAAACAACCGGCUGUAAUCCUAGAAAUUAUAGUGAACUCCCAAGUGCGGCUUGGGGAGUGGACGUAGGAGCAAGAGUUGGCUCCGAACCACUAUAAAGUCUCUUGAGUUUGU